AUGAUGACAAGUCGGCUUGUAUGGAUAUGUGGGUUGAAUAUGGAGAAGGAUGUGAAGAAAGCAUUAUCCAACCAUUCUGUUGAAGCUUUUGAAGAAGCUCUUUGGUUUCACCUUCUGGAUUCGUUCAGAUCAGUAUAUUCUGCUGAAACUGAAUUCAUAUUCAGAAGAGAAGAUAGAAGGAAAACUGAAAGUAUAUUUUUAAGCUCUUCACUUCCUGGAACUACAUGGUGA
Molecule: non-coding RNA, 231 nt
Organism: Vicia faba (fava bean)
Lineage: Eukaryota; Viridiplantae; Streptophyta; Magnoliopsida; Fabales; Fabaceae
Source: the annotation of a GenBank genome assembly